CCAGGGCCCAGCGAAUGCUUCCCAAGUGCACAGAAGACACCACGGAAGGACACAUGGGUUCUGUGAACCCCACAAAAUUCACGACGUGGCACAUAAAGGCCAAACACACACGCACACAAGGCUUCAGGGAGACGAGAAGGGACAAACACACGCACACAAGGCUUCAGGGAGACGAGAAGGGACAAACACACCCACACAAGGCUUCAGGGAGACGAGAAGGGACAAACACACACGCACACAAGGCUUCAGGGAGACGAGAAGGGACACACACACACACAAGGCUUCAGGGAGACGAGAAGGGACAAACACACACACAAGGCUUCAGGGAGACGAGAAGGGACACACACACACAGGGCUUCAGGGAGACGAGAAGGGCCAAACACACACGCACACAAGGCUUCAGGGAGACGAGAAGGGACACACACACACGCACACAAGGCUUCAGGGAGACGAGAAGGGACACACACACACGCACACAAGGCUUCAGGGAGACGAGAAGGGCCAAACACACACGCACACAAGGCUUCAGGGAGACGAGAAGGGACACACACACACGCACACAAGGCUUCAGGGAGACGAGAAGGGACACACACACACGCACACAAGGCUUCAGGGAGACG
This 620-nucleotide long non-coding RNA is filed under the name Pan troglodytes (chimpanzee). Its description in RNAcentral is "long non-coding RNA NONPTRT007871". Lineage: Eukaryota; Metazoa; Chordata; Mammalia; Primates; Hominidae. The record is from RNAcentral.